Molecule: long non-coding RNA, 2050 nt
Organism: Gallus gallus (chicken)
Lineage: Eukaryota; Metazoa; Chordata; Aves; Galliformes; Phasianidae
Source: Ensembl
GCCAAAAAGACCCGUAGUUGACCAGUGGUUGACCAGCAGUUCAUCUGAUGUUGACCAAUGGUUGCUCAUGAGGUAGCAGUGUGCCCUGGUGGCCAAAAAGAGCAAUGGUUGCCCAGUAGUUGACCAGCAGUUCAUCUGUAGUGGCCAAAAAGUGCAAUGGUUGACCAAUGGUCAACCAACAGUUCAUCUGUAGUUGACCAAUGGUUGCUCACCAGGCAGCAGUAUGGCCUGGUGGCUAAAAAGACCCAUGGUUGACCAAUGGUUGACCAGCAGUUCAUCUGAUGUUGACCAAUGGUUGCUCAUGAGGCUGCAGUGUGCCCUGGUGGCCAAAAAGACCCAUGGUUGACCAGUGGUUGACCAACAGUUCAUCUGUAGUGGCCAAAAAGAUCCAUGGUUGACCAAUGGUCAGCCAACAGUUCAUCUGUAGUUGCCCAAUGGUUGCUCAUGAGGCAUCAGUGUGCCCUGGUGGCCAAAAAGACCCAUGGUUGACCAGUAGUUGACCAGCAGUUCAUCAGUAGUUGACCAACAGUUGCUCACGAGGCAGCAGUGUGCCCUGGUGGCCUAAAAGAGCAAUGGUUGACCAGUGGUUGACCUACAGUUCAUCAGGAGUUGACCAAUGGUUGCCCAUGAGCCAGCAGUGUGCUCUGGUGGCCAUGAAGGCCAAUGGCUCCCUGGGCUGCACGGCACAGAGCGUGGGCUGCAGGGUGAGAACGCUUCUCCUCCCCUCUGCUCUGCGCUGGGGGGGCCACAGCUGCAGCGCUGGGCUCCCCAGCUCUGAGCCAUGCAGAUCCUGCUGGAAGAUGCCUUAAGGCCCACGCAUGAUGAGCUGCACGUGAUGAGCAGCAGAGGAAGCACUGAGCGUUGCAGCUCAUCCUGCAGCAGCAGAGGAGGCACUGAGCGUUGCAGCUCAUCCUGCAGCAGCAGAGGAGGCACUGAGCGUUGCAGCUCAUCCUGCAGCAGCAGAGGAGGCACUGAGCGUUGCAGCUCAUCCUGCAGCAGCAGAGGAGGCACUGAGCGUUGCAGCUCAUCCUGCAGCAGCAGAGGAAGCACUGAGCGUUGCAGCUCAUCCUGCAGCAGCAGAGGAGGCACUGAGCGUUGCAGCUCAUCCUGCAGCAGCAGAGGAGGCACUGAGGGUUGCAGCACCUCUUGGAGCCCUGCGGCCGACGCGCAGCGUGUUGACGAGCCGUCCCUUUUGGGGACGAGAGCCGGGAUGCUGCCCUUCCCCUUCUGGCCAGGAGAUGUCCUGCUCGGCCUGCACAGCGUUCCUGCUGCUGCUGGGAACCGCUGCCGGCUGUGCCAGCUUGGUUUCCAUAGCUGUUGGCCCAGAUGCUCCCCGGGUGCGAUGCUUCCCCUCUGCUCCAGCCAGACCCCCCCCACGGUUAUGAGCCCUGCAUGCGUUGAGCAUCAGCCCCACGUUACUCCCAGCCCAGCGCCAACGGCGGGGCUGCCCUGAGUCAGCCAGCAAGCAGCUUUGGAGUAAUAAAUCCUUCCCAACCUGCGUUGUUUGACUCUCCGAGCAUCUCCUAACUCAUCUUCUCUCCUUUGCUUUCAGAAGAUGCUCUGCUGGAAGCCGCGAGGAUCAACAACGUUUCGGAAGUCAACAGGUGAGCAGAGCCCUGGAGGCGCCUGAGAGAGCUUUUUGGUGGCCUGGAAGCUCGCACGGGAUGGGGGCAGAGGCUCCCCUCCGCUGUGCCCCCCACACUGCUGCAGGGAGGAGGAGGAGAUCCCCACGGCCAGAGCUGCUCCUUGCAGCCGUGGGCGGUGCUCGGAGGAAGCAGCGUGGCUCCGUGCAGCCCAGGGCUGAGCUCUGGCCUGGAUCAAGGGCUGAACAGGGGAUAUUGGCGUGCAGCUAAUUGGCACGCGGGUUCUGCUGCUCGUAAUUGCAGGAAGCUGCUGCUCAACGACGUCUGGGUGAUGGGUGAGCCUGCCCGGGCAGAGCAGCAGCAGGGAUGCUCCGUGCCCCCCAUGCUCAGGGUGGGGAGCGCAGUGCGUGUGUUCCAGCUGGGAAGCAGCUGCCAGGACCUGGUUUUUUCCAUGCUGCACAGACUGG